AACGAACGCUGGCGGCAGGCCUAAUACAUGCAAGUCGAACGGAUGUAGCAAUACAUUAGUGGCGCACGGGUGCCUAACGCGUGGGAACAUACCCUUGAGUAAGGAAUAAUGUCUGGAAACGGACACUAAUACCUUAUAAUGACUUCGGUCCAAAGAUUUAUCGCUCAAGGAUUGGCCCGCGUCUGAUUAGCUAGUUGGUGAGGUAACGGCUCACCAAGGCGACGAUCAGGAGCUGGUCUGAGAGGAUGAUCAGCCCCACUGGGACUGAGACACGGCCCAGACUCCUACGGGAGGCAGCAGUAAGGAAUAUUGAACAAUGGGGGAAACCCUGAUCCAGCCAUGCCGCGUGAGUGAAGAAGGCCUUAGGGUCGUAAAGCUCUUUCAAUAGUGAAGAUAAUGACGGUAGCUAUAGAAGAAGCCCCGGCUAAAUUCGUGCCAGCCGCCGCGGUAA
RNAcentral lists this ribosomal RNA (451 nucleotides) under uncultured bacterium. RNAcentral's name for it is "partial 16S ribosomal RNA". It matches the Rfam family "Bacterial small subunit ribosomal RNA", at positions 29 to 523 of the family's 1533-position model. The record is from RNAcentral.